Molecule: ribosomal RNA, 253 nt
Filed under: uncultured bacterium
Lineage: Bacteria
Description: partial 16S ribosomal RNA
Rfam family: Bacterial small subunit ribosomal RNA
Source: RNAcentral
UACGGGGGGGGCAAGCGUUGUUCGGAAUUACUGGGCGUAAAGGGCUCGUAGGUGGCCAACUAAGUCAGACGUGAAAUCCCUCAGCUUAACUGGGGAACUGCGUCUGAUACUGGAUGGCUUGAGAUUGGGAGAGGGAUGCGGAAUUCCAGGUGUAGCGGUGAAAUGCGUAGAUAUCGGGAGGAACACCAGUGGCGAAGGCGGCUUCCUGGACCAGCACUGACGCUGAUGCGCGAAAGCUAGGGGAGCAAACAGG